UUCCCUGUAGCUCAGUUGGUAGAGCAUGGUGUUUGCAACGCCAGGGUUGUGGGUUCAAUUCCCACGGGGAAA
This 72-nucleotide transfer RNA is filed under the name Salmo salar (Atlantic salmon). It matches the Rfam family "tRNA". From Rfam's summary of the family: Transfer RNA (tRNA) molecules are approximately 80 nucleotides in length. Their secondary structure includes four short double-helical elements and three loops (D, anti-codon, and T loops). Further hydrogen bonds mediate the characteristic L-shaped molecular structure. tRNAs have two regions of fundamental functional importance: the anti-codon, which is responsible for specific mRNA codon recognition, and the 3' end, to which the tRNAs corresponding amino acid is attached (by aminoacyl-tRNA synthetases). tRNAs cope with the degeneracy of the genetic code in two manners: having more than one tRNA (with a specific anti-codon) for a particular amino acid; and 'wobble' base-pairing, i.e. permitting non-standard base-pairing at the 3rd anti-codon position. Lineage: Eukaryota; Metazoa; Chordata; Actinopteri; Salmoniformes; Salmonidae. The record is from Rfam by way of RNAcentral.